Molecule: ribosomal RNA, 403 nt
Filed under: Verrucomicrobiota bacterium
Lineage: Bacteria; Pseudomonadati; Verrucomicrobiota
Description: Verrucomicrobia bacterium partial 16S ribosomal RNA
Rfam family: Bacterial small subunit ribosomal RNA
Source: RNAcentral
UGGGGUAUAUUGCACAAUGGGGGAAACCCUGAUGCAGCGACGCCGCGUGAGCGAAGAAGGUUUUCGAAUCGUAAAGCUCUGUCCUAUGAGAAGAUAAUGACGGUAUCAUAGGAGGAAGCCCCGGCUAAAUACGUGCCAGCAGCCGCGGUAAUACGUAUGGGGCGAGCGUUGUCCGGAAUUAUUGGGCGUAAAGGGUACGUAGGCGGUCUAUUAAGUCAGGUGUGAAAGCGUGAGGCUUAACCUCAUUAAGCACUUGAAACUGAUAGACUUGAGUGAAGGAGAGGAAAGUGGAAUUCCUAGUGUAGCGGUGAAAUGCGUAGAUAUUAGGAGGAAUACCGGUGGCGAAGGCGACUUUCUGGACUUUUACUGACGCUCAGGUACGAAAGAGUGGGGAGCAAACAGG